UAGCUAGUUGGUGGGGUAAAGGCCUACCAAGGCGACGAUCGGUAGCUGGUCUGAGAGGAUGGCCAGCCACACUGGAACUGAGACACGGUCCAGACUCCUACGGGAGGCAGCAGUGGGGAAUAUUGGACAAUGGGGGCAACCCUGAUCCAGCAAUGCCGCGUGUGUGAAGAAGGCCUGAGGGUUGUAAAGCACUUUCAGUGGGGAGGAGGGUUGACAGGCUAAGAGCUAGUUAACUGGACGUUACCCACAGAAGAAGCACCGGCUAACUCCGUGCCAGCAGCCGCGGUAAUACGGAGGGUGCGAGCGUUAAUCGGAAUAACUGGGCGUAAAGGGUGCGUAGGUGGUUGGAUAAGUUAUCUGUGAAAUCCCUGGGCUUAACCUGGGCAGGUCAGAUAAGACUGUUUAACUCGAGUUUAGGAGAGGGUAGUGGAAUUUCCGGUGUAGCGGUGAAAUGCGUAGAGAUCGGAAGGAACACCAGUGGCGAAGGCGGCUACCUGGCCUAAAACUGACACUGAGGCACGAAAGCGUGGGGAGCAAACAGGAUUAGAUACCCUGGUAGUCCACGCUGUAAACGAUGUCAACUAGCUGUUGGUUAUUUAAAUAUAAUCAGUGGCGC
This 616-nucleotide ribosomal RNA is filed under the name uncultured Legionella sp. Its description in RNAcentral is "bacterial SSU rRNA". It matches the Rfam family "Bacterial small subunit ribosomal RNA", at positions 242 to 849 of the family's 1533-position model. Lineage: Bacteria; Pseudomonadati; Pseudomonadota; Gammaproteobacteria; Legionellales; Legionellaceae. The record is from RNAcentral.